RNAcentral lists this long non-coding RNA (3664 nucleotides) under Oryza sativa (Asian cultivated rice). Its description in RNAcentral is "long non-coding RNA (OSAT_LNC000698)". The record is from RNAcentral. Lineage: Eukaryota; Viridiplantae; Streptophyta; Magnoliopsida; Poales; Poaceae.
GAUCUUCAACAUCUCAAAUAUUCUUAACUCAUACUCAUGUGAAUCUAGUUCCCAGGAUGUGCACUAGAUUCACACUUUCAUCUCAAGCAUGAUUAUACAUAGCAAACACAAAUAAGAUGAAAGCGAUUAUAAACUACAUCUACUUUAGUUACAUUGGCCGACCGGCCAAAUAAAUAAUAGAACAACGGAAGCCUGUCUACCCAAUCCACAAGCACACCGACUAGGGGUUUACCCCAUUAAGUUCAAGUCCUAGAAGAAGCCGUCGAUUACCCGCAUCACUCAAAGACUAAGUCUAAAACCUGCAAGCAAAAGAUUAAUUCAAUAGCAAGAGUCAGUACAUUAUUAGAAAUAAUAUACUGGCAAGCACCAAGACAAGCCUAACACUCUACUUGCAAGGCAUAUAAUCAAGGAAGGCAUAAUAUGGUUCUUUUUAGCAUAAAGCAAGUUUUAUUUGCAUAAAACAUUUCUAAAUCUGGUUUACUUUCAAAUAAAUUUCAGCAAGCUAGUACUUAGCAUAUGGGCAUCAAAGUAGGCAUUAAUCAUGUAUAAAUAUUCACCUCAUUGCCAUCCAUGGCAGCAAGGAGAUCAUUCUCAAAUCUCAUCACAAUUUGAAAGUAAAUUUCAGCAUUUAGGAGAAUAAACACAAGUCUAUACUCAAUAUAUAUCCACACGCCGCUCUUGACCGUGAGCACGGCUAAUCAAUUAGUUUUGACUCUGCAAAGUUUGUACACUUUACCCACAUGAUGCGAAAUAAUAAUCAUGCAAGAGCAUGGCACGCGAUACAUAAGUACCCGAUUUAUUACCCGCAACAAAGCUUUUCCAAAAUUCAUGAUUUAGCCUUACACCAGCACGAUACGUGUUACUCCAUCCUAAGCCAUACUCGAUAUAUAACCUAGAACCGUUAAGUGGCGGGUCCACGCCUUAAACUUAACGCCGUGGUGGCGGACACAACGGGAACCCACCACGUGGCACAAUACCGUUGUAUUGGACACGCUUAGUCACCUAAACUACCACGUCGGGGUAAAUAGGAAGCUCCUCUGAAUUAUACGAACUCAUACACACCGGCCUACCAGAAUGUAAGGCUAAACCAUAAAUAGUUUACUAAGCUUGGGCUAUCCCAUACUAGCACAUGUGGUUGUACUGUAUACGGAAUGAACUGACAUUGAGUGAAGUCCUUAAGUCGGUUUGGGCGCACACUCCCCCUAUCAGUACACAACUAAUCACCAUAUGUGCACCACUUGAGGCCCAAACCUAAAAUUCAUGUUUUCCACCAUUUUGUUUAUCAAAAUCACAAGUAUUAAAGUUCUGCCCAGAUUAUUUAAAAAUCAAUUUUCAUGUUUGUAAUGAGCCCAUAAUGACAAGGAAGACUAUUCUAAGCAUGGCUAAGCAUUAUAGUAACCUAGUGUCACCAAAACUCAUAUAUAAAGUGGUAUAGUCAUAUUGUUCCUAAGGUUAGGAAUGAGGGAUAUGGAUAUAUGUGGAGUUAAGGUGAUAAUGUAAGUAGUAGGAGUUUGUCUAACAAGUUUAACAAAAUUUUAAUUUAUUAGUGUACAAUCGACAUGCAAGAUUUGCAAAUAUUUUCAAUAACCUCCAAAACAUAGGUUCAAAGUAAUCAAAGAGAGGGAGGUGGGACUUGCCUUGAAUCAAGAAAAUGUCAGCGCCUAAAUCAUUUCUUCACCGUUUAAGCAAUCAUCUAUACAAAGUACACGUUAUGCAAUUAAACACCAAAAUAUGCGAAAAAUCCAAAAUGCUCUAAAAUACAUGAUUUGUGCACAGGGAAUAGGUACUGGUCUAAAAUGAAUUUAGGUGAAAGAAUUUCUAUUUUAUCUCAUUUCAUUUGAGAAUUAUGAAUUUUAGAAGUUUCGUCGGUAUAGUGUAGGAUUUACUUAGGUACUAUUGUGAAAUGCUGUUGUAACGUGAUUCUUAUUAAGUUUAUGUUUGCUGGGGUGAAUAUAUGUGUUUUCUAAGACUAACACAUUUGGUUUCAUAAUUUUUAGAGUUAAUAUGAAUUCUUUAUGUUUUUUUACAAGUUAUAACGUGUUAUAGGUGUAUAGUGUUCUAUAGGUUCAUGGCUUUAGAGGUUUAGGUCCAGAACUUGCCUCAUCUAGCUAGUGAUGUAUGAAAUGAGUAUUUUAGUUAACUAAUCUAACCUAAGUUCAUAGGCUUAUGGUCUUUAUUAUCAUGGUUCAUAUUUUAUAAACUAGGGGAGCUCUAGUCCAUGCUAGCAAUUUAUUAUAUCAACCUAAAAAUUAUUAUAUGAGCUAAGUGCCUUAAGUUUUGGUGGAUGGGGAUGGAACUAUGCAUUCACUGGUCUAACAAGUUUUAUGUGGGUUUCAUUAUAGCUAGAAUGUAUUUCUAUAUACAUUUAUAUAUAUACAUAUUGCUCAAUCGAUACUAUGUGAUCAGCACCUAUCAUAUAAAUUUAAAGUUUAAAGCUACAACCUGUACAGAAGGUUCCAUAUUUUAUUUUACUAUGUUGAAGCCCACUGUUUGCUGGUUCUAUAGAUAUUUGGUUCACUUCAUUUAGACUAAAGAUGAAUUUUCUACAAAUUUUACAAUUUAAGGUUGCUCUAUGAUGGUUAUUACUUACAUAAGUAUUUAGAGGCUUUUAUCAUACAGUAAGUAUAUAAUUUUAUUUUAUAACUUGGAAGUAUAUGUUUUGAUGAUUCUACAGAACUUGGGUUUACUCAAAAAGGAUCUAAGAUGAAUUUUAUAUGAACUUCUAAAAUUCAGCUUAUCUAAAACUAGUCAUUUAAAGGUAAUAGUUUUAGAGGCAUUUGAUGUAUAGUAUGUAUACUAUUUCAUUUUGCUUUAUAGGAGAACAUAAGUUGGUGGAUCUGUAGAAACUGAGUUUGCUCCAAAAUGAGUUGAGAUGUACUUUAUAUGCAUUUUAUAAGUUUGUGUAUGCUUUAUGUAUGAUUUAUCUUAGACCCAUUUUAGAGACAAGGUCUGUGCGGCGGGUGCCAAGCUUAAUGUUACCACAUUAAAGUUCAUAGUUUUGUGAACCUAUAGAAAUUUGAAUCAUCUCAAAAUAAGUUAUAUUUGAUUUUAUAUGGAUUUUACAAGUUUAGGUGUUUUGCUGUUAAAAAGUAAAGGUUUUUAGUAUUAUCUUUUACAUUUUCAGAUUUUAAACUCAUGGGGUUCACCUGUCGGUCUCAGGCCAAUAUGCAAAAAGGCCCCUAGGGUUUCAGGAAAUCAAACCGCAGUCCUAUGACUGUUUUGUGUGUCUUGAGCUUUUGCAGAAAGGAUCCUAUAUUAACCUAAAUUCUUGUGAGGAGGUCCCUGGUUCGAGCUGAAGCAGAUCAAGCCAUGGCUGAGCUCGAUCUCAAGCUUGCCAGCGGCAAACGGUGGCUCGUUUGAGGGUGCGACCAAAAGAAAAAAUAAAGAUCAUGCUAUUGCGAUUCCAUUCCUCUACUUUUCUCGGUCAGUGGACAUCGGAGUAACGCCGGCGGCGAGUCCGAGCGGCGGCUGUGCUUAGGCUGCUACUGCAUGCUGAGUUGGUGCUCGAUUCUAAGUGAAUGAAAUGCAUGAAUGCAAUCCUAUGGGCUCAAGGAUGCUCACCGAACCUUGAACGAGGCGCGGGAAAGUCUGGACAGCGGCAGCGGUGAAGAAUAUGGUCCGGCGACGGUGCAGAGCUCCGGGAAGACGGCAACGGCUCGAUCCA